RNAcentral lists this ribosomal RNA (479 nucleotides) under uncultured bacterium. Its description in RNAcentral is "bacterial SSU rRNA". It matches the Rfam family "Bacterial small subunit ribosomal RNA", at positions 28 to 525 of the family's 1533-position model. The record is from RNAcentral.
GACGAACGCUGGCGGCGUGCCUAACACAUGCAAGUCGAGCGAGUGAAUCUCCUUCGGGAGUGAAGCUAGCGGCGGACGGGUGAGUAACACGUGGGCAACCUGCCUCAUAGAGGGGAAUAGCCUUUCGAAAGGAAGAUUAAUACCGCAUAAGAUUGUAGCUUCGCAUGAAGUAGCAAUUAAAGGAGCAAUCCGCUAUGAGAUGGGCCCGCGGCGCAUUAGCUAGUUGGUGAGGUAACGGCUCACCAAGGCGACGAUGCGUAGCCGACCUGAGAGGGUGAUCGGCCACAUUGGGACUGAGACACGGCCCAGACUCCUACGGGAGGCAGCAGUGGGGAAUAUUGCACAAUGGGGGAAACCCUGAUGCAGCAACGCCGCGUGAGUGAUGACGGCUCGGUUGUAAGACUCUGUCUUCUAGGACGAUAAUGACGGUACCUGUAGGAGGAGCGACGGCGUAACUACGUGCAGCAGCCGCGGUAAAC